This 1374-nucleotide ribosomal RNA is filed under the name metagenome. Its description in RNAcentral is "bacterial LSU rRNA". It matches the Rfam family "Bacterial large subunit ribosomal RNA", at positions 1537 to 2925 of the family's 2925-position model. The record is from RNAcentral.
AAAAUCCGCUGUAACAAUUCUGAGGCGUGAUGGGGAAGGCCAUAUAGGCCGAAGUACAUGAUUCCAUGCUUCCAAGAAAAGCAUCUAGAGAGAGAAGUAGUGCCCGUACCGCAAACCGACACAGGUAGAUGAGGAGAGAAUCCUAAGGCCGGCGGAAGAAUUGCAGUUAAGGAACUAGGCAAAUUGACCCCGUAAGUUCGCGAGAAGGGGUGCCUGCGAGAGCAGGCCGCAGAGAAUAGGCCCAAGCAACUGUUUAGCAAAAACACAGGUCUCUGCUAAAGCGUAAGCUGAUGUAUAGGGGCUGACGCCUGCCCGGUGCUGGAAGGUUAAGGGGAACACUUAGCGCAAGCGAAGGUGUGAACUUAAGCCCCAGUAAACGGCGGCCGUAACAAUAACGGUCCUAAGGUAGCGAAAUUCCUUGUCAGGUAAGUUCUGACCCGCACGAAUGGCGUAAUGACUUGGGCACUGUCUCAACUGCAAAUCCGGCGAAGUUGUAGUGCGAGUGAAGAUGCUCGCUACCCGCGAUUGGACGGAAAGACCCCGUAGAGCUUUACUGUAGCUUAGCAUUGAAUUCCGGUAUUGUCUGUACAGGAUAGGUGGGAGACUGGGAAACUAGGGCGUCAGCCUUAGUGGAGUCAACCUUGGGAUACCACCCUGACAGUACUGGGGUUCUAACAGGACGCCAUGAAUCUGGUGACUGGACAUUGUUAGGUGGGCAGUUUGACUGGGGCGGUCGCCUCCUAAAAAGUAACGGAGGCGCCCAAAGGUUCCCUCAGAACGGUCGGAAAUCGUUUGUAGAGUGCAAAGGCAGAAGGGAGCCUGACUGCGAGACAUACAAGUCGAGCAGGGACGAAAGUCGGGCUUAGUGAUCCGGUGGUACCUCGUGGGAGGGCCAUCGCUCAACGGAUAAAAGCUACCUCGGGGAUAACAGGCUGAUCUCCCCCAAGAGUCCACAUCGACGGGGAGGUUUGGCACCUCGAUGUCGGCUCGUCGCAUCCUGGGGCUGUAGUAGGUCCCAAGGGUUGGGCUGUUCGCCCAUUAAAGCGGCACGCGAGCUGGGUUCAGAACGUCGUGAGACAGUUCGGUCCCUAUCCGUCGCGGGCGUAGGAAAUUUGAGAGGAGCUGUCCUUAGUACGAGAGGACCGGGAUGGACUGACCUCUGGUGCACCAGUUGUUCCGCCAGGAGCAUGGCUGGGUAGCUAAGUCGGGAAGGGAUAAACGCUGAAAGCAUCUAAGCGUGAAGCCUCCCUCAAGAUGAGAUUUCCCAUAGCAUAAGCUAGUAAGACCCCUUGAAGAACACAAGGUUGAUAGGUCAGAGGUGUAAGUGCGGUAACGUAUUUAGCUGACUGAUACUAAUAGGUCGAGGGCUUGAUC